UACGUAGGGCGCAAGCGUUGUCCGGAAUUAUUGGGCGUAAAGAGCUCGUAGGCGGCUUGUCGCGUCGACUGUGAGAACCUGCAGCUCAACUGUGGGCUUGCAGUCGAUACGGGCAGGCUAGAAUUCGGUAGGGGAGACUGGAAUUCCUGGUGUAGCGGUGAAGUGCGCAGAUAUCAGGAGGAACACCGGUGGCGAAGGCGGGUCUCUGGGCCGAUAUUGACGCUGAGGAGCGAAAGCGUGGGGAGCGAACAGG
RNAcentral lists this ribosomal RNA (253 nucleotides) under uncultured bacterium. RNAcentral's name for it is "partial 16S ribosomal RNA". It matches the Rfam family "Bacterial small subunit ribosomal RNA", at positions 524 to 776 of the family's 1533-position model. The record is from RNAcentral.